UGGGCUCUAUGCUGAUAGCAGAGAACCUGAUGUGGGGCUGGAACUCACAAACCACAAGACCAAGACAUGAGCUGAAGUCAGAAGCUUAACCAACUGAGCCAUCUAGGUGCCCCAAAAGUUGCUCAGUUUAAACCUACCCUCCAAAGUCCUCGAUGUAUCUUGACUCUGGAUUCCUGAUCACAGUUUUUUGACCCACCUCCUAAUCCCUGAAUGUGGACCCUGAUUUUUGGAUCAGAACACAUCUGGGAAGAAUUCAGUAAUCUUCGGGCUGACUCUCCACCCCUAGGAGAGGCCUCAUGAUCUUAACCCAGCUUCCUGAUAUCACUGCCUGGCUAGAUCUGAGUAUUGGCCUUGUUGGUUCAGAGUAACUCCACCUGUGUUCCCAGGUCAAAGUGUUUUUACUCAAGGAGAUAGGGAGCCUGAAUUGGUAAUGGAUGCAAUACCAAGCAUCCUGUCUGGUAUAGCCUGAAGACCAUCAGUUUCUGGGUUCUGACUCACAAGCCAAAGUCUGGUUCAAUUCUUUUAUUUUGUUAAUUCUGUGCCCAUUGGCUUCAGUCCUUCCUGUCUGAUUCUUGACUGCAAUGUUAGUUUGGUUGUAAACAUUCUUGGACUUGCAAUCAACUCAUUUCCUCACAUCUGCUUUCCAGAAAUGGCAGUAGCAAAAUGGUAUCAUAAGAAAAUUGACACUGAAGCAAUUUAAGACACUCCAUAUCCCCAACAGGAGGAGGAGAAGAAGGAGGAGGAGAGGAAGAAGAAGGAAAGGAAGAAGAAGAUGAGGAAGAAGAAGGAGAAGAGGAAGAGUUUAACAUUCCCUGACUCUGGUUCUGGAGCCUGAGAAGUCCAAGAUCAAGGUGCUGGAAGAUUCAGCAUGUGGCACUUUCCAAACUCUGAUGCAAGGAGGAUAAAUCCAAGCAGAAGACACAGGAUUCUUUGAAUUCGGGAGAAAGAUCAGAGUUUAAGGAGACGGCGACAAAUGGAAAAGGUAUGUAUCUAUAUAUAUCUAAGAUUUUUGCUUCUCUUAAUGAUUGGGGAACAGGAUUUAAUUUAUAUGGUGUCCUAAAUAACAAAAAAACUGAGCAAAGUAUAUGAAAAAAACUUUCAGAGUUUCACAGACAGAGAACUUGUGAGAUCUGCAGAGAGGUCUUUUCAAGUGUUGGACUGAGUACUGAUAGCACAUGUGCGGGAUGAACACAAUGCUGGGGAAAGAAACACUGGAAAGCAAACAACUAUCAGAGCUCACACAGGGCUGAGAAUGCUUUUGCUUCCAUAGGCAAAGUGUCUCAGUAAACAUGGAAAAUUAGGUAGUUUUUGUUUGUUUGUUUGUUUUUUAGUAAUGGAGCUAAAUUAGCCCUACAGCUACUUUGGACUGACUCAAACUAACUUGAAAGUAAAACUGUAAACAUUAAACUGAUUGCCACUAAACUAAAUACAUCCAGAACAUUUCCCAACACUCUUUCAAAAAAAGCAAUUGUUAACAAUGUACAAUUAACCAUGUUUAGCAUCUACAAAAUGCUAUCAGUCAUGCAAAAAGUAAGAAACUAUGACCCACAAGAAGGAGAAACACCAAUCAAUGACAGAAAUAUUACAAUUAGCAGGAAAAGAUAUUAAAACAGCUAUUUUAAUGUGCUCCAUAUACUCAAAAAUGUAGUGAAAAGAUAAUAGGAGAAAAACAGAAGAUAUGAAAAAGAUCUGAUAGAAUUUCUAAAGAUGAAAAAUACAUUUUAGGUGAAAUAUAUGUACAAAUUUUGCUGGAUUCAUAAAAUGAAAUCGUAUUCAACAAUAAAAAAGAAUGUAUUACCUAUAUUCUCAGCAUCAAUGAAAUUAAAAACAUGUUCAUCAAAAGAAGCACACACCAAAGUGAGCACACUGUAUGACCUAAUUGAUAUGAAACACUAGAAGUACAAAACGAAUCUAUCCUAACACAAGGCAGAUUAUUUAUUUCCUGAUUUUAGAGAUUGGGGUAAAAUGACUGCAAAGGUAUAAAUACAAUUUUUUUUUUUUUUUUUUUUUUGGUGAUGGAAAUGACGCAUGUCUUGACUGGGAUGGUAGUUUCAAGGCUACAUGCAUUUGCCAGAACUCACUGCACUGUACUUAAAGUGGGUUUACUCUGUGGUGCACAAUUUUUAAAAAAUGUCUGUUUAUUUUGAGAAAGAAAGAGAGCAUGUGCAAAUGAGCAGGGGAGGGGCAGAGAGGAGAGGGAGAGAGAAUCCCAAGCAG
Felis catus (domestic cat) is the source of this 2217-nucleotide long non-coding RNA. RefSeq lists it as uncharacterized. Lineage: Eukaryota; Metazoa; Chordata; Mammalia; Carnivora; Felidae. The transcript has 3 exons. The record is from RefSeq and is a predicted model, not a curated record.